This 997-nucleotide ribosomal RNA is filed under the name Mortierellales sp. RNAcentral describes it as "partial large subunit ribosomal RNA". It matches the Rfam family "Eukaryotic large subunit ribosomal RNA", at positions 81 to 939 of the family's 3401-position model. The record is from RNAcentral. Lineage: Eukaryota; Fungi; Mortierellomycota.
UAGUAACGGCGAGUGAAGCGGGAUGAGCUCAAAUUUAAAAUCUGGCUGGUUUACUAGUCCGAAUUGUAGUUUAAAGAAGCGUUUUCGGUGGCAGCCUGGGUAUAAAUCCUUUGGAACAGGGUAUCAUAGAGGGUGAGAAUCCCGUCUUUGACUCAGUGCAUGCUACUAUGUGAUACGUUUUCAAAGAGUCGAGUUGUUUGGGAAUGCAGCUCAAAAUGGGUGGUAAAUUUCAUCUAAGGCUAAAUAUUGGCGAGAGACCGAUAGCGAACAAGUACCGUGAGGGAAAGAUGAAAAGAACUUUGAAAAGAGAGUUAAACAGUGCGUGAAAUUGUUGAAAGGGAAACGCUUGACACCAGUCAUGCGAGCGGAAAAUCAGUCUUUUGCAGUGGGGAGUUGUGUGGGUUCGGACCGCAAGGCCGGCCUGCGCUGCAUCUCUGCUGUAAGUGAUGCACUUUUUCGUUUGCAGGCCAACAUCAGUUUCUUCUGCUGGACAAAACUCUUGAGAAGGUAGCAGCUUUGGCUGUGUUAUAGCUCUUGAGCGAUACAGUGGAGGGGACUGAGGUUUUCGCAGCGCGUGCUCUCGGGCAAGGCUGAUUGGGUGCUAUGGGAUCGUUCGGUGUACAAUGCAUGCAUUUUGCGCCGUGUCUUUUCUAUACUCGCUCAACUCGGCUCUUCCGCGCUUAGGAUGUUGGCUUAAUGGUUUUAAUCGACCCGUCUUGAAACACGGACCAAGGAGUCUAACAUAUAUGCAAGUGUUUGGGUGGCAAACCCAUGCGCGUAAUGAAAGUGAACGUAGGUGCGAUCCGCAAGGUGCAGCAUCGACCGAUCUUGAUAUUUUUGGAUAGAUUUGAGUAAGAGCAUAUAUGCUGGGACCCGAAAGAUGGUGAACUAUGCCUGAAUAGGGUGAAGCCAGAGGAAACUCUGGUGGAGGCUCGUAGCGAUUCUGACGUGCAAAUCGAUCGUCAAAUUUGGGUAUAGGGGCGAAAGACUAAUCGAA